This 447-nucleotide ribosomal RNA is filed under the name uncultured bacterium. RNAcentral's name for it is "partial 16S ribosomal RNA". It matches the Rfam family "Bacterial small subunit ribosomal RNA", at positions 29 to 523 of the family's 1533-position model. The record is from RNAcentral.
AACGAACGCUGGCGGCAGGCCUAACACAUGCAAGUCGAGCGCCCCGCAAGGGGAGCGGCGGACGGGUGAGUAACGCGUGGGAACGUGCCUCUUGCUACGGAAUAGCCUCGGGAAACUGGGAGUAAUACCGUAUGUGCCCUUCGGGGGAAAGAUUUAUCGGCAAGAGAUCGGCCCGCGUUGGAUUAGGUAGUUGGUGGGGUAAUGGCCUACCAAGCCGACGAUCCAUAGCUGGUUUGAGAGGAUGAUCAGCCACACUGGGACUGAGACACGGCCCAGACUCCUACGGGAGGCAGCAGUGGGGAAUCUUAGACAAUGGGCGCAAGCCUGAUCUAGCCAUGCCGCGUGAGUGAUGAAGGCCUUAGGGUUGUAAAGCUCUUUUACCAGGGAUGAUAAUGACAGUACCUGGAGAAUAAGCUCCGGCUAACUCCGUGCCAGCCGCCGCCGUAA